GACGAACGCUGGCGGCGUGCCUAAUACAUGCAAGUAGAACGCUGAAGGAGGAGCUUGCUUCUCUGGAUGAGUUGCGAACGGGUGAGUAACGCGUAGGUAACCUGCCUGGUAGCGGGGGAUAACUAUUGGAAACGAUAGCUAAUACCGCAUAAGAGUAGAUGUUGCAUGACAUUUACUUAAAAGGUGCAAUUGCAUCACUACCAGAUGGACCUGCGUUGUAUUAGCUAGUUGGUGGGGUAACGGCUCACCAAGGCGACGAUACAUAGCCGACCUGAGAGGGUGAUCGGCCACACUGGGACUGAGACACGGCCCAGACUCCUACGGGAGGCAGCAGUAGGGAAUCUUCGGCAAUGGACGGAAGUCUGACCGAGCAACGCCGCGUGAGUGAAGAAGGUUUUCGGAUCGUAAAGCUCUGUUGUAAGAGAAGAACGAGUGUGAGAGUGGAAAGUUCACACUGUGACGGUAUCUUACCAGAAAGGGACGGCUAACUACGUGCCAGCAGCCGCGGUAAUACGUAGGUCCCGAGCGUUGUCCGGAUUUAUUGGGCGUAAAGCGAGCGCAGGCGGUUAGAUAAGUCUGAAGUUAAAGGCUGUGGCUUAACCAUAGUACGCUUUGGAAACUGUUUAACUUGAGUGCAAGAGGGGAGAGUGGAAUUCCAUGUGUAGCGGUGAAAUGCGUAGAUAUAUGGAGGAACACCGGUGGCGAAAGCGGCUCUCUGUCUUGUAACUGACGCUGAGGCUCGAAAGCGUGGGGAGCAAACAUG
This 763-nucleotide ribosomal RNA is filed under the name uncultured Streptococcus sp. Its description in RNAcentral is "bacterial SSU rRNA". It matches the Rfam family "Bacterial small subunit ribosomal RNA", at positions 28 to 776 of the family's 1533-position model. The record is from RNAcentral. Lineage: Bacteria; Bacillati; Bacillota; Bacilli; Lactobacillales; Streptococcaceae.